This 74-nucleotide transfer RNA is filed under the name Achromatium sp. WMS3. It matches the Rfam family "tRNA". Rfam says of the family: Transfer RNA (tRNA) molecules are approximately 80 nucleotides in length. Their secondary structure includes four short double-helical elements and three loops (D, anti-codon, and T loops). Lineage: Bacteria; Pseudomonadati; Pseudomonadota; Gammaproteobacteria; Thiotrichales; Thiotrichaceae. The record is from Rfam by way of RNAcentral.
GCCCAGGUAGCUCAGUCGGUAGUAGCAGUGGACUGAAAAUCCUCGUGUCGGUGGUUCGAUUCCGCCCCUGGGCA